GAUGAACGCUGGCGGCGUGCCUAAUACAUGCAAGUCGAGCGAACGGACGAGAAGCUUGCUUCUCUGAUGUUAGCGGCGGACGGGUGAGUAACACGUGGAUAACCUACCUAUAAGACUGGGAUAACUUCGGGAAACCGGAGCUAAUACCGGAUGAUAUUUUGAACCGCACGGUUCAAAAGUGAAAGACGGUCUUGCUGUCACUUAUAGAUGGAUCCGCGCUGCAUCAGCUAGUUGGUAAGGUAACGGCUUACCAAGGCAACGAUGCAUAGCCGACCUGAGAGGGUGAUCGGCCACACUGGAACUGAGACACGGUCCAGACUCCUACGGGAGGCAGCAGUAGGGAAUCUUCCGCAAUGGGCGAAAGCCUGACGGAGCAACGCCGCGUGAGUGAUGAAGGUCUUCGGAUCGUAAAACUCUGUUAUUAGGGAAGAACAUAUGCGUAAGUAACUGUGCACAUCUUGACGGUACCUAAUCAGAAAGCCACGGCUAACUACGUG
This 497-nucleotide ribosomal RNA is filed under the name uncultured bacterium. RNAcentral's name for it is "partial 16S ribosomal RNA". It matches the Rfam family "Bacterial small subunit ribosomal RNA", at positions 28 to 507 of the family's 1533-position model. The record is from RNAcentral.